GAUGAACGCUGACAGAAUGCUUAACACAUGCAAGUCAACUUGGACUUCGGUUUGGGUGGCGGACGGGUGAGUAACGCGUAAAGAACUUGCCUCACAGAUAGGGACAACAUUUGGAAACGAAUGCUAAUACCUGAUAUUAUGAUUUUAGGGCAUCCUAGAAUUAUGAAAGCUAUAUGCGCUGUGAGAGAGCUUUGCGUCCCAUUAGCUAGUUGGAGAGGUAACGGCUCACCAAGGCGAUGAUGGGUAGCCGGCCUGAGAGGGUGAUCGGCCACAAGGGGACUGAGACACGGCCCUUACUCCUACGGGAGGCAGCAGUGGGGAAUAUUGGACAAUGGACCAAGAGUCUGAUCCAGCAAUUCUGUGUGCACAAUGAAGUUUUUCGGAAUGUAAAGUGCUUUCAGUUGGGAAGAAAAAAAUGACGGUACCAACAGAAGAAGUGACGGCUAAAUACGUGCCAGCAGCCGCGGUAAUACGUAUGUCACAAGCGUUAUCCGGAUUUAUUGGGCGUAAAGCGCGUCUAGGUGGUUAUAUAAGUCUGAUGUGAAAAUGCAGGGCUCAACUCUGUAUUGCGCUGGAAACUGUGUAACUAGAGUACUGGAGAGGUAAGCGGAACUACAAGUGUAGAGGUGAAAUUCGUAGAUAUUUGUAGGAAUGCCGAUGGGGAAGCCAGCUUACUGGACAGAUACUGACGCUGAAGCGCGAAAGCGUGGGUAGCAAACAGG
This 722-nucleotide ribosomal RNA is filed under the name uncultured Fusobacterium sp. RNAcentral's name for it is "bacterial SSU rRNA". It matches the Rfam family "Bacterial small subunit ribosomal RNA", at positions 28 to 776 of the family's 1533-position model. The record is from RNAcentral. Lineage: Bacteria; Fusobacteriati; Fusobacteriota; Fusobacteriia; Fusobacteriales; Fusobacteriaceae.